Molecule: ribosomal RNA, 855 nt
Filed under: uncultured bacterium
Lineage: Bacteria
Description: bacterial SSU rRNA
Rfam family: Bacterial small subunit ribosomal RNA
Source: RNAcentral
CUCAGGAUGAACGCUGGCGGCGUGCCUAAUACAUGCAAGUCGAACGAGGUGCUUUUGUAGCAAUACGGAAGUAUCCUAGUGCGAAACGGGUGAGUAACGCGUUGGUGACCUACCCCAAAGGUGUGAGAUAACAGUCCGAAAGGACUGCUAAUACCGCAUGUGGUCUUCGGGCUUACAAACCGAUAACUAAAGGAGCAAUUCGCUUUGGGAGGGACCUGCGUCCCAUCAGCUAGUUGGUAGGGUAACGGCCUACCAAGGCUUCGACGGGUAGGGGACCUGAGAGGGUGGCCCCCCACAAUGGAACUGAAACACGGUCCAUACACCUACGGGUGGCAGCAGUAGGGAAUAUUGCACAAUGGGCGAAAGCCUGAUGCAGCAACGCCGCGUGUGCGACGAAGGCCUUCGGGUCGUAAAGCACUUUUCUGAGAGAUGAGAAAGGACAGUAUCUCAGGAAUAAGUCUCGGCUAACUACGUGCCAGCAGCCGCGGUAAAACGUAGGAGGCGAGCGUUAUCCGGAUUCACUGGGUGUAAAGCGCGUGCAGGCGGUUCGGUAAGUUGGGCGUGAAAUCUCCUGGCUCAACUAGGAGAGGUCGUUCAAUACUACCGGGCUAGAGAGCGGUAGAGGAAGAUGGAAUUCCCGGUGUAGUGGUGAAAUGCGUAGAUAUCGGGAGGAACACCAGUGGCGAAGGCGAUCUUCUGGACCGUUUCUGACGCUCAGACGCGACAGCUAGGGUAGCAAACGGGAUUAGAGACCCCGGUAGUCCUAGCCGUAAACGAUGUGAACUUGGUGUCGGUGGGUUAAACUCCAUCGGUGCCGCAGCCAACGCGAUAAGUUCACCACCUGGGGACUACGGC